This 664-nucleotide ribosomal RNA is filed under the name uncultured bacterium. RNAcentral's name for it is "partial 16S ribosomal RNA". The record is from RNAcentral.
CUACGCAUUUCACUGCUACACGCGGAAUUCCAUCCCCCUCUACCGUACUCUAGCGAUGCAGUCACAGAUGCAAUUCCCAGGUUGAGCCCGGGGAUUUCACAACUGUCUUACAUCACCGCCUGCGCACGCUUUACGCCCAGUAAUUCCGAUUAACGCUCGCACCCUACGUAUUACCGCGGCUGCUGGCACGUAGUUAGCCGGUGCUUAUUCUUACGGUACCGUCAUGGGCCCGCCGUAUUAGGGCAGACCUUUUCGUUCCGUACAAAAGCAGUUUACAACCCGAAGGCCUUCUUCCUGCACGCGGCAUUGCUGGAUCAGGCUUUCGCCCAUUGUCCAAAAUUCCCCACUGCUGCCUCCCGUAGGAGUCUGGGCCGUGUCUCAGUCCCAGUGUGGCUGGUCGUUCUCUCAAACCAGCUACAGAUCGUCGGCUUGGUGAGCUUUUACCUCACCAACAACCUAAUCUGAUAUCAGCCGCUCCAAUCGCGCGAGGCCCGAAGGUCCCCCGCUUUCAUCCCUAGAUCGUAUGCGGUAUUAGCGUAAAUUUCCCUACGUUAUCCCCCACGACAAGGUAGAUUCCGAUGUAUUCCUCACCCGUCCGCCACUCGCCGGCAUCGUAUUGCUACGACCCGCUGCCGUUCGACUUGCAUGUGUUAGGCCUGCCGCC